GAUGAACGCUGGCGGCGUGCCUAAUACAUGCAAGUCGAGCGAACGGACGAGAAGCUUGCUUCUCUGAUGUUAGCGGCGGACGGGUGAGUAAAACGUGGAUAACCUACCUAUAAGACUGGGAUAACUUCGGGAAACCGGAGCUAAUACCGGAUAAUAUUUUGAACCGCAUGGUUCAAAAGUGAAAGACGGUCUUGCUGUCACUUAUAGAUGGAUCCGCGCUGCAUUAGCUAGUUGGUAAGGUAACGGCUUACCAAGGCAACGAUGCAUAGCCGACCUGAGAGGGUGAUCGGCCACACUGGAACUGGGACACGGUCCAGACUCCUACGGGAGGCAGCAGUAGGGAAUCUUCCGCAAUGGGCGAAAGCCUGACGGAGCAACGCCGCGUGAGUGAUGAAGGUCUUCGGAUCGUAAAACUCUGUUAUUAGGGAAGAACAUAUGUGUAAGUAACUGUGCACAUCUUGACGGUACCUAAUCAGAAAGCCACGGCUAACUACGUG
This 497-nucleotide ribosomal RNA is filed under the name uncultured bacterium. Its description in RNAcentral is "partial 16S ribosomal RNA". It matches the Rfam family "Bacterial small subunit ribosomal RNA", at positions 28 to 507 of the family's 1533-position model. The record is from RNAcentral.